GGCGGCGCGCUUAACACACGCAAGUUCGAAACGAUGAAGCUCUCGCCUCGCUCAGGCGGAUUCGUCGGCGAAACGGGCGAGUAAUACGUCGAGUCGACCUACCUUCGACUCUGGGAUAAGCCUGGGAAACUCGGGUCUAAUACCGGAUACGACCAAUCUCCGCAUGGGGUGUUGGUGGAAAAGCGUUAUGGAGUGGUUUUAGAUGGGCUCACGGCCUAUCAGCUUGUUGGUGAGGUAAUGGCUUACCAAGGCGACGACGGGUAGCCGGCCUGAGAGGGUGACCGGCCACACUGGGACUGAGACACGGCCCAGACUCCUACGGGAGGCAGCAGUGGGGAAUAUUGCACAAUGGGCGCAAGCCUGAUGCAGGCGACGCCGCGUGAGGGAUGACGGCCUUCGGGUUGUAAACCUCUGUUAGCAUCGAAGAAGCGAAAGUGACGGUAGGUGCAGAGAAAGCGCCGGCUAACUACGUGCCAGCAGCCGCGGUAAUACGUAGGGCGCGAGCGUUGUCCGGAAUUAUUGGGCGUAAAGAGCUUGUAGGCGGUUGGUCGCGUCUGCUGUGAAAGGCUGGGGCUUAACCCUGGUUUUGCAGUGGGUACGGGCUAACUAGAGUGCAGUAGGGGAGACUGGAAUUCCUGGUGUAGCGGUGGAAUGCGCAGAUAUCAGGAGGAACACCGAUGGCGAAGGCAGGUCUCUGGGCUGUAACUGACGCUGAGAAGCGAAAGCAUGGGGAGCGAACAGGAUUAGAUACCCUGGUAGUCCAUGCCGUAAACGUUGGGCACUAGGUGUGGGGGACAUUCCACGUUUUCCGCGCCGUAGCUAACGCAUUAAGUGCCCCGCCUGGGGAGUACGGCCGCAAGGCUAAAACUCAAAGAAAUUGACGGGGGCCCGCACAAGCGGCGGAGCAUGCGGAUUAAUUCGAUGCAACGCGAAGAACCUUACCAAGGCUUGACAUAUACUGGACUGCGUCAGAGAUGGCGUUUCCCUUCGGGGCUGGUAUACAGGUGGUGCAUGGUUGUCGUCAGCUCGUGUCGUGAGAUGUUGGGUUAAGUCCCGCAACGAGCGCAACCCUCGUUCUAUGUUGCCAGCACGUGAUGGUGGGGACUCAUAGGAGACUGCCGGGGUCAACUCGGAGGAAGGUGGGGAUGACGUCAAAUCAUCAUGCCCCUUAUGUCUUGGGCUUCACGCAUGCUACAAUGGCCGGUACAGAGGGUUGCGAUACUGUGAGGUGGAGCUAAUCCCUAAAAGCCGGUCUCAGUUCGGAUUGGGGUCUGCAACUCGACCCCAUGAAGUCGGAGUCGCUAGUAAUCGCAGAUCAGCAACGCUGCGGUGAAUACGUUUCCCGGGCCCUUGCACACACCGCCCGUCA
Molecule: ribosomal RNA, 1369 nt
Filed under: uncultured bacterium
Lineage: Bacteria
Description: 16S ribosomal RNA
Rfam family: Bacterial small subunit ribosomal RNA
Source: RNAcentral